Aegilops tauschii subsp. strangulata is the source of this 602-nucleotide long non-coding RNA. RefSeq lists it as uncharacterized. The record is from RefSeq and is a predicted model, not a curated record. NCBI's taxonomy places the organism in Eukaryota, Viridiplantae, Streptophyta, Magnoliopsida, Poales, Poaceae.
UCAUAUUGAAUAUACAUGUUCUAAACAUUAUACAGUACUUUCGUUGUUAACUCCAAACAACUUGGGAUCUUCUCUUCUGCAUGCAGCAACUGGCUUACCAGCACACCGCCAAGGGGGCAUGCCUUGCCCUGGUAGCAAGGAGGAGUGGAGCCUGUGGCAGGUCGCCAACCGUGCCUUCAAGCUCGGCGCGCCGGACGUGAUCAUUCUCCCGGGGGACGUCGCAGACCCCGACGACUACAACAGAUUUGUUCAGGCCACAAUCGACCACUACGGCCAAUGGCGACCGUGGAAGGCAUGAUGAUAGUUCAUAUUGCAAUUCUGUUAGUCCAGUGUAAUGAAGGUCAUGGCCUAGUCAAGUAUGGUCGCCCAUUGAGUCAUGCAUAUGUUUCAUAUGAUUGGAGCAGGGGCCCAGUUUGUGCCGAUUGUCACUGCAUAUGUUUAACAGUGAUUCUACUUGUAUAGUUAUUACACUAGUAGAAUUUGUACCUGUGCGAUGACUGGAGCAGGAUCCCAAUAUUUGUAGAGAUUGUAACAUUGAUUGUCACUGUAUACAGAUUGAUUCUGGUUGCUGUUACUUGAAGUAUUUCUUAUGUUUUAUGUCU